AUUACAGAGUAGCAGAUCAAUCAAUAUAUUUUGCCACCGCCAACUUACCAUCAAAGAGACAAACGUGAAAUUGUGCUUAAAAAAACAAAAAAAUUACUAAAGAACAGGAGAAAAGGAAAUUCAGUAACGAAUAUGAAAGACUGGGCCACCUACAUAGCCCCUUACAUUAGGAGACGCCGCACCGCCGAGCAAGACCUGGUGUACAACUUUGGCGAGCAAUUGUUGAAUGAAAUAGAGAGCCUCUGCAUGAACAAUCUCUUCUCGGACGUGUCGUUCCUCGUGGAGGGGCAGCGCCUGCCAGCGCACCGCUUGAUUCUAGCGACUCGCAGUCAGUACUUCCGGGAACUGCUCUUCGGUGGCAUGUGCAAUUCAAGGGAACAACUGAUUCGGCUGGAGGUGCCGCUGGAGGCAUUCAAAGUAAUACUGGGCUACCUUUACGCGGGCACUGUGCCCUUAUCCUUGGAUACGGAUGCUAUCGUGCAAGUGUGCGAUUUGGCCAAAAUGUAUGGCUUGCUGGAACUCUGGACGGUCAUAACCAGAUACCUAAACGGCCGUAGUGUUUCUUAGAUGACCCUGUUCAGAGAAAGGCCGUCAGGCAAGGAACUGGAGCGGGCGUGCAUAAAAGACAAUGUUCAUAAGUUCUUCUCAACAAUUCCAAACAAUCCAGCAUACCCGAUUUGCGCAUAGCAAAUUAUAUAUGUAAUUUCUGGCAAAUAUAAAUUUACAUAUUCAUUUUGAUAAUCAGCUGAUUCAUACCAAACAUUUCAGUGUGACCAAGCAAAUGCAAGAAUAAUCGGAAUAGAAUAAUCAAAACCGAACCACUUUCGAGGAUGUAAUUUUCUUUAUUGGGCGUCUAUUUGGGUGCUACAAAAUCAAAGGAUGUGCAGAAAACGAUCUCUCUAAGCUGACUUGAGUUGCAGGAACAGAGUGCACACAUCCUCGCCAGUUUAUACAAAUUACUCCGCACCAUUCAUUCUCUAUUCAACUUGGAGGUGCAUCAAAUGGAGAGUAAAAAUAGUACGUUCCAUAUCCCACCUAUUCUAUCCUACCUUCCUAUCCAAAAACAUCGUUUUUCAAUUGUAUCCCUGGUAUAAGGCAACCCUGUCUUAUGUGUCAAAGCAAAGACUAUACAAUACAAUAGACUUUGACUCUACAGACAACUUCGGAACUAAAAGUACAACUAAAAUUCUAUUGAAAUAAAAUUUCAAACUUCUACAAUCAAAAUGAUUCGCGCCUUGCAGCCCGAUAUGCGUGCGGUCGAAGAGCUGGCCAAAAAAGAGGUUCAAGCAAAUAUUUUCGUAUUUGUCUUGACCUGUGCCCUGAUACGCUUUGUGCCAAAAAUAAUACGCAAGUUCUUUUAGAGGUCUUUUAAAGAUCAUACACUGGAGGGCGCUGCUGAGAGUAGAUGAUUUGAAAUUCGAAAUCCACACUGACACAAAAUGUUCACUACCAGAGAUUCAAUUCAGACAUAAUGCAUUUGUUAAUUAUCUAAACACUCGUUAACAAUAAACAUAAGGGGUACCAAGCAGAUA
Molecule: unclassified non-coding RNA, 1532 nt
Filed under: Drosophila pseudoobscura pseudoobscura
Lineage: Eukaryota; Metazoa; Arthropoda; Insecta; Diptera; Drosophilidae
Description: GA25289
Source: RNAcentral